Non-coding RNA from Moniliophthora roreri, 84 nucleotides. Lineage: Eukaryota; Fungi; Basidiomycota; Agaricomycetes; Agaricales; Marasmiaceae. The record is from Rfam.
GCCCGCCUAGCUCAAUCGGAUAGAGCGUCAGACUCUUAUUAAGGCGGGAUCUGAAGGCUGCGAGUUCGACCCUCGCGGUGGGCU